CCCCCCCACCCACAAAAACCACAACACCCACAAACCCAAAAAACCCCACAACCCCCCCACACCCCACCAACCCCACAAACCCCACACACCCCACAAAAC
Molecule: unclassified non-coding RNA, 99 nt
Filed under: synthetic construct
Description: RNA (99-MER) from synthetic construct (PDB 2GTT, chain W)
Source: RNAcentral